This 299-nucleotide ribosomal RNA is filed under the name uncultured bacterium. RNAcentral describes it as "partial 16S ribosomal RNA". It matches the Rfam family "Bacterial small subunit ribosomal RNA", at positions 337 to 653 of the family's 1533-position model. The record is from RNAcentral.
UCCUACGGGGGGCAGCAGUGGGGAAUAUUGCACAAUGGGGGAAACCCUGAUGCAGCAACGCCGCGUGGGUGAAGGAGCGUUUCGGCGCGUAAAGCCCUGUCAGCGGGGAAGAAGAAAGACGGUACCCGACCAAGAAGCCACGGCUAACUACGUGCCAGCAGCCGCGGUAAUACGUAGGUGGCAAGCGUUAUCCGGAUUUAUUGGGUGUAAAGGGCGUGUAGGCGGGAUUGCAAGUCAGCGGUAAAAACGCGGGGCUCAACCUCGCUCCGCCGUUGAAACUGGCGUUCUUGAGUGGGGGA